GAAUCUUCCGCAAUGGACGCAAGUCUGACGGAGCGACGCCGCGUGAGUGAUGAAGGUCUUCGGAUCGUAAAACUCUGUUGUUAGGGAGGAAUAAGUAUCGGAGUAAUAUGCCGGUACCUUGACGGUACCUAACCAGAAAGCCCCGGCUAACUCCGUGCCACCAGCCGCGGUAAUACGUAGGGGGCAAGCGUUGUCCGGAAUUAUUGGGCGUAAAGGGCACGCAGGCGGUCUUUUAAGUCUGAUGUGAAAUCUCGUAGCUUAACUACGAGCGGUCAUUGGAAACUGGAAGACUUGAGUGCAGAAGAGGAGAGUGGAAUUCCACGUGUAGCGGUGAAAUGCGUAGAGAUGUGGAGGAACACCAGUGGCGAAGGCGGCUCUCUGGUCUGCAACUGACGCUGAGGUGCGAAAGCGUGGGUAGCGAAC
This 423-nucleotide ribosomal RNA is filed under the name uncultured bacterium. RNAcentral's name for it is "partial 16S ribosomal RNA". It matches the Rfam family "Bacterial small subunit ribosomal RNA", at positions 359 to 773 of the family's 1533-position model. The record is from RNAcentral.